This 74-nucleotide transfer RNA is filed under the name Flavobacterium micromati. It matches the Rfam family "tRNA". From Rfam's summary of the family: Transfer RNA (tRNA) molecules are approximately 80 nucleotides in length. Lineage: Bacteria; Pseudomonadati; Bacteroidota; Flavobacteriia; Flavobacteriales; Flavobacteriaceae. The record is from Rfam by way of RNAcentral.
GGGGAAUUAGCUCAUUUGGCUAGAGUGCUUGCCUGGCAGGCAAGAGGUGACCGGUUCGAAUCCGGUAUUCUCCA